AGAGUUUGAUCCUGGCUCAGAACGAACGUUGGCGGCGUGGAUUAGGCAUGCAAGUCGAACGCGAAUCCCUGGGCAACUGGGGAGGAGAGUGGCGAAAGGGGCAGUAAGGCGUGGGUAACCUACCCUCCGGGCCGGGAUAGCUUCGGGAAACUGAAGGUAAUACCGGGCGACGCAGCGGGAUCGCAUGGUUCUGCUGCCAAAGGUCCGCCGCCGGGGGAGGGGCUCACGUGGUAUUAGCUAGACGGCGGGGUAACGGCCCACCGUGGCGAAGAUGCCUAGCAGGUGUGAGAGCACGACCUGCGCCACUGGCACUGAGACACUGGCCAGACACCUACGGGUGGCUGCAGUCGAGGAUCUUCGGCAAUGGGCGCAAGCCUGACCGAGCGACGCCGCGUGUGCGAUGAAGGCCUUCGGGUUGUAAAGCACUGUCGAGGGGGAGGAAGCCGCAAGGUUGACCUAUCCCUGGAGGAAGCACGGGCUAAGUUCGUGCCAGCAGCCGCGGUAAUAC
Molecule: ribosomal RNA, 508 nt
Filed under: uncultured bacterium
Lineage: Bacteria
Description: bacterial SSU rRNA
Rfam family: Bacterial small subunit ribosomal RNA
Source: RNAcentral